Long non-coding RNA from Oncorhynchus kisutch (coho salmon), 674 nucleotides. RefSeq lists it as uncharacterized. The transcript is spliced from 2 exons. The record is from RefSeq and is a predicted model, not a curated record. NCBI's taxonomy places the organism in Eukaryota, Metazoa, Chordata, Actinopteri, Salmoniformes, Salmonidae.
UAAUAACGCAUGACAACAUCAGACUGUUCUGAAAUCACACUUCCUGUGGUGACUUGUGGUGAAACUGUGUUGUGGAUUUAUAAUUUCAGACUCGACACUCAGGUUUCUGAGGCACUGUUUCAGCAGAUGUUCCGGGUGGAUAUUGUCUCCGACCAUGGCCCCAAAUUCACAUCGUGAGUAUGGAGAGCCUUCACGGAGAAGCUGGGGGCCACGGCCAGCCUCACAUCCACGUACCUCAGUCCAACGGGCAGGUGGAAAGGACUAACCAGAAGCUGGGGAGGUUCCUUAGGACCGGCAGGGGGAGUAGGCCCGGUUCCUUCCCAGGGCGGAGUACGCACAGAACUCACUUCAUCACUCCUCCACCGGGCUGACUCCCUUCCAGUGCGUCCUGGGAUAUCAGCCAGCCUGGGCCCCGUGGACCCCAAGCCAGACCGAGUGUCACGCCUACUCCAGCUGCCGCUCUCCGGCGCUCGACGUCGCCGGUCUACUAACCACAGGUCCUGGCACCAUCAUUGCGCACACCUGGACCUCAUCAUCACCUUGAAUGGUCUCCCUUUAUUUAGUCCUCAGUAGCCUCAGUCAUUAUGCAGUAUUGGUUCUGUUCUCGUUCAGUACGCUUCUCAUGUUUUGUUGAUCUGCCGUCUCUUACCAUUAAACGUACCUUCUGCACCUGC